UGGGGAAUAUUGGACAAUGGGCGCAAGCCUGAUCCAGCCAUGCCGCGUGAGUGACGAAGGUCUUCGGAUUGUAAAACUCUUUUGGCGGGGACGAUAAUGACGGUACCCGCAGAAUAAGCCCCGGCUAACUUCGUGCCAGCAGCCGCGGUAAUACGAAGGGGGCUAGCGUUGUUCGGAAUCACUGGGCGUAAAGCGCACGUAGGCGGAUGUGCCAGUCAGGGGUGAAAUCCCGGAGCUCAACUCCGGAACUGCCUCUGAUACAGCACGUCUUGAGUUCGAGAGAGGUGGGUGGAAUUCCUAGUGUAGAGGUGAAAUUCGUAGAUAUUAGGAAGAACACCGGUGGCGAAGGCGGCCCACUGGCUCGAUACUGACGCUGAGGUGCGAAAGCGUGGGGAGCAAACAGGAUUAGAUACCCAAGUAGUCCCUGAGCGGGCUGGCAAGGCGCAU
This 447-nucleotide ribosomal RNA is filed under the name uncultured bacterium. RNAcentral describes it as "bacterial SSU rRNA". It matches the Rfam family "Bacterial small subunit ribosomal RNA", at positions 355 to 825 of the family's 1533-position model. The record is from RNAcentral.